AAGUCGUAACAAGGUUUCCGUAGGUGAACCUGCGGAAGGAUCAUUAACACGUAUCCAACGUUAAACCCCCCUGUGAACUUUUAUACUUGCUCUCCUAGCCCGCCGGAAUUGCAAUCCCUGGUAAAUCAUUGUUGAACAGAUUUUGAUUCAGGGACCUCAGUUUGGUAGGCGAAGAUCGAGCGAUCGUUGCAAGUGGCCUGGUUUCCCCAAGCAGUCAGUGUCUGGAAGUGUCAUUGAUUGUGUAAGGAUAACGCUUUUUGAUCACUAGAGCAGGUGACCAGGUCGCCGUGGCUUCGGCCCCCUAUAUUAACCCCACUACCUGAACUCGCCUCGUACUGGGCAACAAAACGAACAACUGUUAACAAUGGAUAUCUUGGUUCUC
This 382-nucleotide unclassified non-coding RNA is filed under the name fungal sp. Its description in RNAcentral is "partial internal transcribed spacer region". The stretch from base 1 to 46 matches the Rfam family "Eukaryotic small subunit ribosomal RNA", at positions 1786 to 1831 of the family's 1831-position model. Lineage: Eukaryota; Fungi. The record is from RNAcentral.